Molecule: long non-coding RNA, 620 nt
Organism: Vigna angularis (adzuki bean)
Lineage: Eukaryota; Viridiplantae; Streptophyta; Magnoliopsida; Fabales; Fabaceae
Exons: 2
Source: RefSeq, a predicted model, not a curated record
CAUCAUCUUCUACCCAAAGACACUAUUCAUCAUGUUCUACCCAAAAACACUAUUCAUCAUCUUCUACCCAAACUACUAUUCAUCAUCUUCUUCAUUCUUGGAGAAUCAUAAAUCUAGUAACCUAAAGCUCUGAUACCACAUAUCUUCAACUCCUUACCCAAUCUAUCUCUUUGAUGCAACCUUAAUUCUCUCAAGACUUUAUGGUGUUUCUAAUGGAAGAUAGAGCUUCUUCAUGAAAACAUUUUGUGCAUCAGGGACAUAAUCCUUCAUCCAUUCUUAUACAACUUCCAUCAAGUUGUAAUGAUUGCCUUAAGUCCCUUAAUUAUUUUAAAUCACAUUUUGACCCUCAUUUAUCUUCAGAGUCACUUAAUAGUUGGAUAAUUCUAACAAGAUCUUGUUUAGGAUAGCUUGUAGUUCAAAUUGUAUUAAAGCUGACCAUUUAUAGUGUUAAGAUAUGUUUAAUGUUAUAUGAUCCUUCAUUCCUAAUUUGCCUUCAUUUUUACUCAUUCAAAAACCUGGAUUGUAUGUAGUGUGUGAAUUCUGUGUCAUACCUUAUCUUUAGCUUAAAAGUUAGUGUUCGCAUUAAGCAAUAUAGUUAAUGAACGUGAGUUUGCCCAUUA